CGGGGGGCAGCAGUAGGGAAUCUUCCGCAAUGGACGAAAGUCUGACGGAGCAACGCCGCGUGAGUGAAGAAGGCCUUCGGGUCGUAAAACUCUGUUGCCGGGGAAGAACAAGUGCCGUUCGAACAGGGCGGCGCCUUGACGGUACCCGGCCAGAAAGCCACGGCUAACUACGUGCCAGCAGCCGCGGUAAUACGUAGGUGGCAAGCGUUGUCCGGAAUUAUUGGGCGUAAAGCGCGCGCAGGCGGCUUCUUAAGUCUGAUGUGAAAUCUUGCGGCUCAACCGCAAGCGGUCAUUGGAAACUGGGAGGCUUGAGUGCAGAAGAGGAGAGUGGAAUUCCACGUGUAGCGGUGAAAUGCGUAGAGAUGUGGAGGAACACCAGUGGCGAAGGCGGCUCUCUGGUCUGUAACUGACGCUGAGGCGCGAAAGCGUGGGGAGCAAACAGGAUUAGAUACCCGAGU
Molecule: ribosomal RNA, 458 nt
Filed under: uncultured Bacillus sp.
Lineage: Bacteria; Bacillati; Bacillota; Bacilli; Caryophanales; Bacillaceae
Description: bacterial SSU rRNA
Rfam family: Bacterial small subunit ribosomal RNA
Source: RNAcentral